GUGCACCUGCCUCGGCUUUGGGAGCCGAGGAUGUGGAUCAUCGGUGCACU
This 50-nucleotide transfer RNA is filed under the name Boodlea composita. RNAcentral describes it as "tRNA-Pro". The record is from RNAcentral. Lineage: Eukaryota; Viridiplantae; Chlorophyta; Ulvophyceae; Cladophorales; Boodleaceae.